AUUGAACGCUGGCGGUAUGCCUAACACAUGCAAGUCGAACGGCAGCACAGGAAGUUCUUGCUCUUACGGGUUGGGGGAGGCGGACGUGUUAGGUAUACACAGGAAUCUACGUUUUCGUGGGGGCGGACGUAGGGAGACUUACACCACAACCGCAUACGACCUACGGGCGAAAGCACUUGAGCCUCGGACCUUGCGGGAUUGAAUGAGCCGAUGUCGGAUUAGCUAGUUGGAGGGGUAAAGGCCCACCAAGGCGACGAUCCGUAGCUGGUCUGAGAGGAUGACCAGCCACACUGGAACUGAGACACGGUCCAGACUCCUACGGGAGGCAGCAGUGGGGAAUAUUGGACAAUGGGCGCAAGCCUGAUCCAGCAAUGCCGCGUGGGUGAAGAAGGCCUUCGGGUUGUAAAGCACUUUUGUUGGGAAAGAAAAGCAGCAGGCUAAUACCGCGCUGUUCUGACGGUACCCAAAGAAUAAGCACCGGCUAACUACGUG
RNAcentral lists this ribosomal RNA (492 nucleotides) under uncultured bacterium. RNAcentral's name for it is "partial 16S ribosomal RNA". It matches the Rfam family "Bacterial small subunit ribosomal RNA", at positions 30 to 507 of the family's 1533-position model. The record is from RNAcentral.